RNAcentral lists this small nucleolar RNA (216 nucleotides) under Aotus nancymaae (Ma's night monkey). Its description in RNAcentral is "Small nucleolar RNA U3 (ENSANAG00000010366.1)". It matches the Rfam family "Small nucleolar RNA U3". From Rfam's summary of the family: Small nucleolar RNAs (snoRNAs) are involved in the processing and modification of rRNA in the nucleolus. There are two main classes of snoRNAs: the box C/D class, and the box H/ACA class. U3 snoRNA is a member of the box C/D class. Lineage: Eukaryota; Metazoa; Chordata; Mammalia; Primates; Aotidae. The record is from Rfam by way of RNAcentral.
AGGACUACACUUCUGGGUGUCAUUUCUAUAGUUCACUACUUAAAGGAGUUUCCCCAAGUGUGUAGAGCACUGGAAACCACGGGAAGAGACACAAUGUUCUCUCCGAAUCACAAAGUGGAUCAUGGUGUUGCUUCGCUACAACUGCCAUUUGCCAUUGAUGAUUGUUUUUUUCUUCCUUUGGUGAGAGGAAGAGCAAGAGGACACAGUCUGAGUGAU